UGGGGAAUUUUGGACAAUGGGGGCAACCCUGAUCCAGCAAUGCCGCGUGUGUGAAGAAGGCCUUCGGGUUGUAAAGCACUUUUGUCCGGAAAGAAAUCCCUUGCCCUAAUACGGCGGGGGGAUGACGGUACCGGAAGAAUAAGCACCGGCUAACUACGUGCCAGCAGCCGCGGUAAUACGUAGGGUGCGAGCGUUAAUCGGAAUUACUGGGCGUAAAGCGUGCGCAGGCGGUUUUGUAAGACAGGCGUGAAAUCCCCGAGCUCAACUUGGGAAUGGCGCUUGUGACUGCAAGGCUAGAGUAUGUCAGAGGGGGGUAGGAUUCCACGUGUAGCAGUGAAAUGCGUAGAGAUGUGGAGGAAUACCGAUGGCGAAGGCAGCCCCCUGGGACGUCACUGACGCUCAUGCACGAAAGCGUGGGGAGCAAACAGGAUUAGAUACCCUGGUAGUCCACGCCCUAAACGAUGUCAACUAGUUGUUGGGGAUUCAUUUCUUCAGUAACGUAGCUAACGCGUGAAGUUGACCGCCUGGGGAGUACGGUCGCAAGAUUA
This 548-nucleotide ribosomal RNA is filed under the name uncultured bacterium. RNAcentral's name for it is "bacterial SSU rRNA". It matches the Rfam family "Bacterial small subunit ribosomal RNA", at positions 355 to 896 of the family's 1533-position model. The record is from RNAcentral.